GAAAAUCUGAGGAAAUGGCAAUGAAUUAAAGGAAGAAUUAUAAAACUCUCACUGAGCAUUUAAAACUUCUCAAAGCUGGAUUUGCUGGGUUAAGUGCUGAAAAUCCUAUCUCCUGGGAACACUUCUUAUACCUGCACAAACCAAGAUGCUUGAUGAAAUGCUGUGCCACUAAGAUGUUGAGUAAUUUGCCCAAAGUCACACAGCUGAUAAAGUGUGGAGGCUGGUUUCUCCAGUGCUACAGCAGGCGGAAUUUUACUGCUGAGGUUGUGAGGGAGAAAGCAGCUUCCAAGGGGGCCCAGGAGGACAUAUACCUGCUAUAUUUGAAAAGCAAGCAGCCAGCAUUUUGAAUGGUAUAUUGGAGCAUAAUAAGGCUUUCUAAAUAAAUCAGGUGUAGAGCUGAUUAAUAAUAUUUCAUGUAAAUGCAUAAGCAAAUUGUAAUUUACCUUCAUAUGAGGCAUAAAUUAUUUGUUACAACCUAAAAAGAAGUGUGAAGAGACAAUUCAGAGGAGAACCUUUAGCUUAAUGCUUAACUGCCAAGCCUUGUGCAAGCUACCAUCAGAGACAUCUGACACCUACUGUGACCAAAGCACAUACCUGACAGGUUAUAUGUUUCCUAAAGCCACCAUUUCAAAUUGAAGUUGUGAACCUGAAGGUAGAAAGAUUGAGAGUGGACCUAGAAGACUUCUAUUCCCAAGUAUUCUAUUCCAAUUUCUCUGCCUGCUUUAUCACUACCGUGAUCAUUACCGUCACCGCCAUUGGCAGUUAGGUCUCUCUACUGUUCCAUGAGGAAACCUCAGGUGUCAAUAAUGAAUGAAUGUACACUAAACAGUGGCCUUCAUCACUAUUUUGAUAUAUGCAAAAUAUUAUUGAUAUUAUUUUUAGUUACGGUAUUACCUAAAUUAAAGUGCUUUAUGUGAACAUAAACAUGUUUGCUUGGUGAAAUUUUGACUGUCCCAAUU
This is a long non-coding RNA of Balaenoptera acutorostrata (minke whale), 959 nucleotides long. RefSeq lists it as uncharacterized. The record is from RefSeq and is a predicted model, not a curated record. Lineage: Eukaryota; Metazoa; Chordata; Mammalia; Artiodactyla; Balaenopteridae. The transcript has 4 exons.